CUGAAAAAACUGAAGUAUUUAAAACUUUGCUUCCUGGCUCCUGAUCUGCAGAAGGCAAUGGAGUGGACAAUGCCUUUGCGUCUAACUCCUGCCCAGUCCUCUGCCUUGCUGGAGAAGUUGAGCCAACCCCUGUGUUAUCUAGCGGAGCACAUGUGGAGGUUGUGUUGCUUGUUGUUAUCAAUGUGGAGGACCUGCUCUUACAAGCAAUGAAGGGGCUGCUGCCUCACAGGAUGCACACCGGGUGUCCGUGUUUGUGUAUUCAACAAUCUUGGUCAGCCACCUGGUGACUGAGUUCGGGAGAGAGGAGCCGUGGCUGAGCUUGGCACAAGCCCUGUUUCUGUGUAAUGAGUGGACUGAGAGGGCACUGAAACUGUGCAAAGUGGAAGGAUGCAGACAACCAUGACACUGUUGCAGCUUCUGGAGAGCUCUGGAAAGGCGAAUGGAUGUGUUUCCACCUGAUCUGCCAGUCACCGCGGUGACACAGAGCGAGCCAUGCUGGGUGGUGUGCCAGCCUGCCGCUGACUCAUGCGGGGGCCAUGGGCUUCAUGCAGGUGGAUUUGAGGAGGUAACAGGAGAGAAGAAAUGGCCUGCUGAGUUAUCCUUCUGGAAGCCAAGCUGUUUCGGGAGCUGUACCCUGGAGGUGACUCCAGACACGCUGCCUGCUUCCCAGGGAGGUUACGGGAUCCAGUGUGAGCUGCUGGCAUGGCGG
Long non-coding RNA from Heterocephalus glaber (naked mole-rat), 709 nucleotides. NCBI's taxonomy places the organism in Eukaryota, Metazoa, Chordata, Mammalia, Rodentia, Bathyergidae. The record is from Ensembl.